Molecule: ribosomal RNA, 506 nt
Filed under: uncultured bacterium
Lineage: Bacteria
Description: partial 16S ribosomal RNA
Rfam family: Bacterial small subunit ribosomal RNA
Source: RNAcentral
AUUGAACGCUGGCGGCAGGCCUAACACAUGCAAGUCGAGCGGCAGCGGGAAGUAGCUUGCUACUUUGCCGGCGAGCGGCGGACGGGUGAGUAAUGUCUGGGAAACUGCCUGAUGGAGGGGGAUAACUACUGGAAACGGUAGCUAAUACCGCAUAACGUCGCAAGACCAAAGAGGGGGACCUUCGGGCCUCUUGCCAUCAGAUGUGCCCAGAUGGGAUUAGCUGGCAGGUAGGGUAAUGGCCUACCUGGGCGACGAUCCCUAGCUGGUCUGAGAGGAUGACCAGCCACACUGGAACUGAGACACGGUCCAGACUCCUACGGGAGGCAGCAGUGGGGAAUAUUGCACAAUGGGCGCAAGCCUGAUGCAGCCAUGCCGCGUGUGUGAAGAAGGCCUUCGGGUUGUAAAGCACUUUCAGCGAGGAGGAAGGCAGUGAGGUUAAUAACCUUACUGAUUGACGUUACUCGCAGAAGAAGCACCGGCUAACUCCGUGCCAGCCGCCGCGGUAA